This 484-nucleotide ribosomal RNA is filed under the name uncultured bacterium. RNAcentral describes it as "partial 16S ribosomal RNA". It matches the Rfam family "Bacterial small subunit ribosomal RNA", at positions 28 to 507 of the family's 1533-position model. The record is from RNAcentral.
AUUGAACGCUGGCGGCAUGCUUUACACAUGCAAGUCGAACGGCAGCGCGGGCUUCGGCCUGGCGGCGAGUGGCGAACGGGUGAGUAAUGCAUCGGAACGUGCCCAGUAGUGGGGGAUAGCCCGGCGAAAGCCGGAUUAGUACCGCAUACGACCUGAGGGUGAAAGCGGGGGACCGAAAGGCCUCGCGCUAUUGGAGCGGCCGAUGUCGGAUUAGCUAGUUGGUGGGGUAAAGGCUUACCAAGGCGACGAUCCGUAGCUGGUCUGAGAGGACGACCAGCCACACUGGGACUGAGACACGGCCCAGACUCCUACGGGAGGCAGCAGUGGGGAAUUUUGGACAAAGGGGGCAACCCUGAUCCAGCCAUGCCGCGUGCGGGAAGAAGGCCUUCGGGUUGUAAACCGCUUUUGUUCGGGAAGAAAUCCUCUGGGCUAAUACCCCGGGGGGAUGACGGUACCGGAAGAAUAAGCACCGGCUAACUACGUG